Molecule: ribosomal RNA, 258 nt
Filed under: uncultured bacterium
Lineage: Bacteria
Description: partial 16S ribosomal RNA
Rfam family: Bacterial small subunit ribosomal RNA
Source: RNAcentral
CAGAGGGAUGCAAAACUGCGAAGUGGAGNGAACCCCCAAAAGCCGUCUCAGUUCGGAUCGCAGGCUGCAACCCGCCUGCGUGAAGUUGGAAUCGCUAGUAAUCGCGGAUCAGCAUGCCGCGGUGAAUACGUUCCCGGGCCUUGUACACACCGCCCGUCACACCAUGAGAGUCGGGAACACCCGAAGUCCGUAGCCUAACCGCAAGGGGGCGCGGCCGAAGGUGGGUUCGAUAAUUGGGUGAAGUCGUAACAAGGUACC